UUGUUGCUGGCCCCCCAAACGGGGCAUGUGCACGCUCUGUUUCACAUCCACUNNNNNNNNNNNCCCUCUGUAGUCUCAUGGUUCGGAAGACCCCGUCUUCCUUCCGUGGCUCUACGUCUUUACACACACGCCGUAGUGAUGUCUCAUGGAAUGUUUUUCUGCGUUUAACGCAAUACAAUACAACUUUCAGCAACGGAUCUCUUGGCUCUCGCAUCGAUGAAGAACGCAGCGAAAUGCGAUAAGUAAUGUGAAUUGCAGAAUUCAGUGAAUCAUCGAAUCUUUGAACGCACCUUGCGCCCCUUGGUUAUUCCUUGGAGCAUGCCUGUUUGAGUAUCAUGAACACCUCAACUCUCAUGGUCUUCCAUGAUGAGCUUGGACUUUGGGGGUUUGCUGGCCCUGCGGCCGGCUCCUCUCAAAUGAAUUAGCUUGCCAGUGUUUGGUGGCAUCACGAGUGUGAUAACUAUCUACGCUCGCGGUCGUCCGCCAGGUAACCCUCAGCGAUGAAGGUUCAUUGGGGCUUAUAAACGUCUCUCCUCGGCGAGGACAACUUUUGAACGUUCGAUCUCAAAUCAGGUAGGACUACCCGCUGAACUUAAGCAUAUCAAUAA
Molecule: unclassified non-coding RNA, 608 nt
Filed under: uncultured Tomentella
Lineage: Eukaryota; Fungi; Basidiomycota; Agaricomycetes; Thelephorales; Thelephoraceae
Description: sequence contains 18S rRNA gene, ITS1, 5.8S rRNA gene and ITS2
Rfam family: 5.8S ribosomal RNA (bases 182-336)
Source: RNAcentral